ACAAAUGAAGAGCCAAAUUUUGCUAGAUGAAUCGUGGGUGCUGCUGACCUCCAUUUUCUGUUUAAUUCUUUCCAAAUAAAGAAGUUUCACAGAGUUUGAAAAUUGUUGGGGUUCUUAUUUUGUUUGGAAUGCAGUAUCUCUCCAGUCCGAUUAUGUGCUGGCACACAACAGAUUUCUUUGGCGUCAAGUGCAUGUAUUUCAGUAGUCUUGGGGAAACAAACAACACGGGUUCUUAUGAGUAAAGAGUACUUGUGGGUGGUUAACUUUGAUUAUCAACUAUUGCUUAUGUGCUUGAUUCAUUAAAUGCAUUCGGUUCAGCAGUUCUCUAGUCUUUUGUAUACAUAACUCUUUUACCAUUAUAAUGAAACGUGGAGAAGUAUAUUUUUAUUUUGCUGUGAUACACUGACAUGUCUACAGUUGGUAAAUACAGAAGAGUGCAAUAUAAAUGAGAGAAAGGGUUUGCUCGUGUUGAAAGGGAUCGUUUGAAAAUUGUUCCUAAUGGUGUUUGAUUCUCGGGCACCAACAAACCAACAUGCUUUAGAGGAACUACCAAAUAUGUGCUACUUAAAAAUUAGAAUGACCCGAAGAUGGUAGACGAUUUCGUUUUAGAAAUUAUAAUGGUGAAGAAUCAUAUUAGAAUCUGCUUUCGCGAAAGGUAAAGUUCUAGCUCGUGUCUCUCUUUAAGGUGUUAUGCGUUUAGAUG
Molecule: long non-coding RNA, 703 nt
Filed under: Nicotiana benthamiana
Lineage: Eukaryota; Viridiplantae; Streptophyta; Magnoliopsida; Solanales; Solanaceae
Description: long non-coding RNA (NBEN_LNC002467)
Source: RNAcentral